RNAcentral lists this ribosomal RNA (253 nucleotides) under uncultured bacterium. RNAcentral describes it as "partial 16S ribosomal RNA". It matches the Rfam family "Bacterial small subunit ribosomal RNA", at positions 524 to 776 of the family's 1533-position model. The record is from RNAcentral.
UACGAAGGGGGCUAGCGUUGCUCGGAAUUACUGGGCGUAAAGGGCGCGUAGGCGGAUAGUUUAGUCAGAGGUGAAAGCCCAGGGCUCAACCUUGGAAUUGCCUUUGAUACUGGCUGUCUUGAGUUCGGGAGGGGUGAGUGGAAUGCCGAGUGUAGAGGUGAAAUUCGUAGAUAUUCGGCGGAACACCAGUGGCGAAGGCGACUCACUGGCCCGAUACUGACGCUGAGGCGCGAAAGCGUGGGGAGCAAACAGG